Molecule: long non-coding RNA, 1972 nt
Organism: Papaver somniferum (opium poppy)
Lineage: Eukaryota; Viridiplantae; Streptophyta; Magnoliopsida; Ranunculales; Papaveraceae
Exons: 3
Source: RefSeq, a predicted model, not a curated record
AAACUCUCAAAGAAAGUUUACAAGCCUUCCCCAACCUUGGCAAAUCCGCGUCUGUAACAUAAACUGAAGAGAUGAAAAUUAUGAUUGAUCAACUGUAACAAAGUUAAAGAAGCUGAAGAAGAACUAUCGAAGUAAGCGCGAAACUAUUAAGGGGUUCUAUGGAGGAAAGAGAUAAUACCCCAUUGUUGGAUAUUAAUGUCAGUUUAGAUGAGACAAUGCUUGAUAUUGGUUUAGACUGUGUACCUCAUUGUGAUACUGAAAAAAUUGAUGAAUAUAUAUUGGAUGGAAAUGGAGAUUUGGUGGAGACAUCAAAUGAUAUGACAACUGAUUAUAUCCCAAAAGUAGGGAUGGUUUUUGAGUCGCAGGACGAAUUGUACCAUUUCUACAAUUAUUAUGCUAGAAUAACGGGAUUUAGCAUCCGUAGGGGCCAUUCUAAACGGUCAAGUGAUGGUGAAAUUAGAAAAAGAGUAAUUCAUUAUUCAAAAGAAGGCUUCGAACAGAGACAUACAAGAGGUACACCACAAAAAGAACGUUCGGUGUUGCUGACGGGAUGUUUGGCUCUUAUACAUGUCAUUGCAAAAGGUGGUGUGCUUGUUGUAACAAAAUUUGUUGAAGAGCACAACCAUGAACUAGUGCUUGCAGAAGAAGCACAUCUGUUAAGGUCUUAAAAAAAGAUAUUACCUCAGCAAGCUCGGCAUAUAGAAUCACUUCAUUCCCGAGGUUGUGGGCCAAGUAAAGCAUUUGCAAUUUUAAGCAAGGAACAUGAUGGUCCACAGAAUCUGAAUUUUACAUUAACAGAUUGUAAAAAAUAUUUCCAGAAAAGGCGUCGAGAGAUAUACAAAGAAGGUGUGAAUUCGGGAUGGCCUUACUUGUCGAUGAAUCUGCUGAAUCAUUUGUGUGGGCUUUUCAAUCAUUUUUAAGUGCAAUGUCGGGAAAGCAUCCAAAGACCAUAUUUACCGACCAGGCACAAGCGAUUGGCAAUGCUGUAAAAGAGGUAAUGCCAGACACACACCAUCGUUUAUGCUUAUGGCAUAUUUUUCAGAAUGCGGCAAAGCAUCUGCCUCAUGUUUAUGCAGCCAAUGAAGACUUUACAAAGGAUUUCGCUGAGUGUCUUUAUAGUGCUGAAACUGAAGAAGAAUUUGAAUCCAUGUGGACAUCGGUGCUCACAAAAUAUUCUCUUACUGAUAAUGAUUGGUUGAUAAAACUGUAUGCCUUACGAGAAAAAUGGGCUCCUGUGUACGGAAGAGAACAUUUUUGCGCUGGCAUGACAACAACUCAAAAGGAGUGAAAGUUUGAACAGUUUUGUCAAGGGUUAUGUAAAUCGCACCCUAUGCAUUAAUGAUUUUAUAUUGCAAUAUAAGAAAGCGGUGAUGGACUGGAGGGAGAAAGAGUUACAAGCUGAUUACCAAAGUAAGCAUUCUAAACCUGUAUAUAUUUCUCUCUUGCGUUUUGAAAGAGAGGCAGCGAAGAUGUAUAUUCGGAAGGUUUUCAGUAUAUUUCAAAAACAGAUUCGGACUCUUUGAAUUUAAAUCUCAGAUUCAGACCCGAUUUCUUCCCAUCAACUACUGGCUUACCACCGCAAGUCUUUCAGGAUGCAACCGAUAAUUGAUUUCUACUUAAUGCCCGGACGUGUCAAGAAGAGAUGAGGGGCCGCAUACUCUCACUAUGCGGCCCAUCCACAUUGUAGCGGGGGCGCACUUCUGGAGAGGAAGUUCUUUUGGAUAAUGCUCAAACAGAUUCCGUAGAAAGUUGUCACUGGAGCUAAUCUUUUCCAUGUGGUUUGUUAUAAGUUAAUUACUUGUAGAAUAAUAUAUUGCGUUACCCUUUCACAGAAAAAUAAAUAUUAGAGCACUGUGUGACAUGAAAUUACACUUAGUUUUUGUUUUUUUUGUCACUAGGGACAGGCAAAUCAGAUUUUUAUAGAUUUUCGUGGAUUUCUUUUUUGAGCGACUCCGAAUAGAUUUCCAGUCAU